RNAcentral lists this transfer RNA (70 nucleotides) under Chrysomelidae sp. SOIL MMG Contig15. Its description in RNAcentral is "tRNA-Met". It matches the Rfam family "tRNA". From Rfam's summary of the family: Transfer RNA (tRNA) molecules are approximately 80 nucleotides in length. Their secondary structure includes four short double-helical elements and three loops (D, anti-codon, and T loops). Further hydrogen bonds mediate the characteristic L-shaped molecular structure. tRNAs have two regions of fundamental functional importance: the anti-codon, which is responsible for specific mRNA codon recognition, and the 3' end, to which the tRNAs corresponding amino acid is attached (by aminoacyl-tRNA synthetases). tRNAs cope with the degeneracy of the genetic code in two manners: having more than one tRNA (with a specific anti-codon) for a particular amino acid; and 'wobble' base-pairing, i.e. permitting non-standard base-pairing at the 3rd anti-codon position. The record is from RNAcentral. Lineage: Eukaryota; Metazoa; Arthropoda; Insecta; Coleoptera; Chrysomelidae.
AAAAAGAUAAGCUAAUUUAAGCUACUGGGUUCAUACCCCAUCUAUGGGAGUUCUAAUCCCCCUCUUUUUA